GCUUUCAAUUCAGGUCAUAUACUAUACUAAGCACGACUGUUUUUCACUUUCCUUGCUUCUUUCUAUAUUUUCUCCUUUUUUAUUACAGAUAUUCCGCAAACAACGACAGUAACCACUUUAGCACCUACGGUGGCUAUAAAUACCGUGCCGGUAGUGGUUACGAAAUACAACAACAAAGAUCAACGUAUCAGUAAAAAAGUUCACCGCACAAAAUUGAAUGCUGCUUCGUCAUCAUCCUUGAACAAUGUUUAUUUUGGUGCCACAUCGAGCUUAUGGAAUUCACAAGAUCACAGCACAGGGGGAGAGCAUAAUCAAUCUUUACCUUGUGAACCCGAAAUGACGUCUAAUGUACUCUGCGACACAAAACCAGCGAACCAACUGGUUUCACCUUCAGUGGAUUCUUCAAGCGCCUUUUCUUCCAAUCAUAAGUCACAUCUUAAAGCAGUUUGCUGGACGUAUCUCCUUCAAGGAUUAUACAUGUUAUUUAGGUAACCCGAACGCCUGCGAACAUUGACUCAUUACUUGAUACAAAGGAGAAACGGAAGUAUUGCGCAUUACAGUUCCGGCAUCUCAAAUUUUGACAACUUCAGCUAAUGUAUUUCUAGAAGUAUAUGAGAAACUGUACUAGAGGCGCCUUUUAAGAUAUAAAGUAUAAGAAGAGUGGCCAACAUACGAUUUGAAGAUACAACUGUCAUAAUACGGUGCAUUCGUCCAAAUACCAUCACAUACAUAUGUACAUACUAUACAACAUAAACAUACAGAAGUUGAUACAGGUUUUCACGGCUUGAAACGGUAAAUUCUAAAGGAACUCAAAUAUAUACAAAGGAGGUAUUAUUUACACUACGUGAAGGACUUUUUGAAAUAAUAUAGCAAUGGACAUUCGCAUAAAAUGAGUUGUGCAGCCAAAGCUUUCAAUAUUGGUUGUAAGAAGAAGAAUAUGCUGAGAAUACUACUAAGGAAUACAUUAUUUAAUUAAGAGUGCUUUUAUGUUUAUAAUAACAGCUUCCCCAAUUUAUUUUAAUUGGAGAUAUGUGCAUGUAUGUUUUUAUAUUGUAGAAAUAUGUUCUGUUAAUAUAUAAAAUAUGUAUUUAUUUUUGUACUAAAUCGUUACAAGAAAAAAGAAUUACAUAAAAAAACUUUUA
Bactrocera dorsalis (oriental fruit fly) is the source of this 1142-nucleotide long non-coding RNA. RefSeq lists it as uncharacterized. The transcript is spliced from 5 exons. NCBI's taxonomy places the organism in Eukaryota, Metazoa, Arthropoda, Insecta, Diptera, Tephritidae. The record is from RefSeq and is a predicted model, not a curated record.